This 203-nucleotide long non-coding RNA is filed under the name Pan troglodytes (chimpanzee). RNAcentral describes it as "long non-coding RNA NONPTRT001157". The record is from RNAcentral. Lineage: Eukaryota; Metazoa; Chordata; Mammalia; Primates; Hominidae.
GUAUUUUAUUAAAGAACAGCCCAAUAUACUUAAGAUUAUAAUUUCAUAAGACUUACCUCUUUACAAAAUGUUCUAGGGACCACAGUGUUGGAAAUAAAAUAGGUGUGCACAUUUCACAGCAAGAUGGCAGUAUUGCUGUAGCAAAGGGAACAAGAAUGAGAGAAGUUUAAAAGGUAGGCAGGGCUUAUAAAGGACAGAGCCUU